RNAcentral lists this long non-coding RNA (17188 nucleotides) under Triticum aestivum (bread wheat). Its description in RNAcentral is "long non-coding RNA (TAES_LNC006575)". The record is from RNAcentral. Lineage: Eukaryota; Viridiplantae; Streptophyta; Magnoliopsida; Poales; Poaceae.
CAGAAGAUAAAUAAACUUGAACAAAUUCACCAGUGAUCCUUGAAGGGGUUGUGCAGUCAGGGUUGUGCUCUUCGCUCCGCUACGAGAGAAUGGCAACACCUACACCUCAAGCUGAACCUGAAAUGCAGCACCAGGCCGGAAUUUAUGAUGUAAUAUAAAUUAUGUUGCUUCCAUCCUAAACGGCUGCCAGCUAACAUGAUCAGCAUUGCAGCUCACAGCUUGUGCAAAAAAUAAUCAAAAUACAGCAACCUAGGUUCAAGUAUAUAAACCUGCAGACUAACCUAAUCAUUUGCGUUUUCCGGAUUGACAUAGAGAGGCAUGUAUUACCUCCACUUGUGGCAAUGAAGCAAUGGCUCUAAUGGUAACCACAAGUAAAAGGAAGAAAUUUUUACAUAACUCUCAGUUCAAAUUCUCGUACCACAAGUGUAUUUUGUUCCCAUUUUCUGAAUCUACAAUUUUUGGUACAUAUGUGAGUGCACAGUACAGUCCUUGGCUUGAAAUUAUUAGGUCAGUUUGGUAAGAUACACCAAAAAAGAGUUUCCACUGAAUUGUGUAAUCAAAAGAGGGGAAUGAGGGGCAACAUAAAAUGGAUGGCGGAAAGAAGAUUAUUCGGUACAUGUGAACAAAGAGUCGAGGUCCAGCCACACAACUUGUAAAUUCCUAUAUGAACAAUUACAAUCAUAAGAAAAUAAAAAUAGUACCUCCUUUUGCUGAAGUCCUUUUUUCAGAUCUUGCAGCUCCAUAUCCAGUUUUUCAUGUAUGGAUGAGUGUUCUCUUUCCUUUUCUCCUUUGUUAACUUCAUCUGAAAAAGAAGAGUGCUUAUUGGAGAAAGUGUCACGAACACAUGAUAUUGUUUCAGUAACUUACUUGCAUUUUGUUCCCGUACUUAAGCAUCCAUUAUAGUAAACAUCUAAUCAUUUUUCUAAUGCAAAAUAAUGCAGGUAAUAAGAACAUAAAGCUUCUAUAGGACAUAGAGAUGUCACAUGACAGAGGGCAUCUGUAUGAUAAAGGGAAAAGAGGUAUGUGCAUACCACUCACAUGUCUCGACAUAAGGUCUUCAAUAAGCUUUCAGAGCUUAGCCUACCUUCAUUUUUAUCAAUUGUUGAUUAUGAGAGGAGACCAAGAUCACAACCCACCAAUACACCCCGGCCACCAUCUAGUUUCUUCAUACGCGAACAAACGGACACCACUAACUACAGUGUUUCGUCUUCUCAUGAUGAUGAGAAUGUGUGCACACAUGUGGCUAUAUUGGUUCCCAUAGCCGACAAUCUAACAGCCUUUCAGCCAGUACAACAUGUGCAAACGUCAAUCGGUAUCGACCUUACACAUGAAAAUAUUUCAGCUUGCAUUUAUACAUUUGUUAACCUAAGUGGUCCACAAAAUGGUUCUUCAGGAAGUCACUCUCGUGAAGCCACUUACUAUGAUCACCGUGUAUCACUUCAAGGAACACAGAGCAGCAUUCAGCAUAAUAUUGGUUCAGAUAUAGCGGUUCGACUCAACACCUCACACACUGGUCCUGAACACAUUGCUUCAAACGCAAUCAUUACAUCAGACAAAAAACAGAAAAGGCGAGAACAAUACAUAGCACGGCGGGAUAGAUUAACACCUGAAGAGAAGGAGAAAAUCAAUGCACACCGCAGAGCAGCUAGGAAGAAGAAAACAGAUGAGGAGAGGAAUGCAUGUCAAAGAGAAGCCAGGCAAUGGAUGACACCAGAGGAGAAGCAAAAAAGUAACACCCUUAGAAGGGCGGACUACCAAAAUAUGAUGGUUGAGGACAAGCAAGAGAGGAAUAGCUGCAGAAGGGCGUCCUACCAAAAUAUGCCGGUCGAGGGGAAGCAAGAGACAAACGCCCGCCGAAGAGCACGUGUGCAAAACAUACCACCCAAGGAGAAACAGAAGAUGCUAGCUCAACGCAACGCAAUACUCGCGGCUAGGCGCAACAUCCCUUGCGCUGAAUCCAUCGCAAUGCCGCGCCCAGAUGCUGCUACCUUAGCUACGCCCAACCUGAUGUCAACCACUCAUGCCAGAGACCCCGCCGCUUCAACUCCUUCCCCCCAGUUAGUGCGUAAGGCUGGUUACAACUUUGAAUCAGACGGUAAUCCUCCCAUCUUUACUCUACUUGUUAUGUUCAUGUGCGUUGGACCAGUAUUUACCAGCUCCUCAACCAUGCAGGUGAGUACCUUAGUCGUACCCUGGACAAUAAUGAGGCCCUCGACGAACUCAUAAAUGCCUCGCAACAAACCAAUGAUCAGUGAAUACACGACAACCAGAAUCAAGCCCAUGAGCAGAAAUAGGAGACCAGAGCACGGCGUAGGGCUCGCGAGCGAGCUUACAAACGAGGUAUGGUGGUAAAGAACAUUCAAGGGAGUGCUGCAAAAUGAAGAGCGCACACGAAAAGGCGUAGCAGAAGGUGAGAGGUCAGCGUUGCUAGAGCGUUGUAAUGCAAGCUUUGCAGCUAAUCAGAGGUCUCCACACCCAAGUACCUUACAUGUGAACAGAGCAGCAACAAGCUCAGAAACACCGCCCACAGGAGCUGCUUCACCGGCUUAGUCCCCUCCAUCGAGCACGUCAUCUUACACCAUUGGGACCGAUGGUAACCCUCUUGUCUUUUACUCCCCUCCCAGUGACCACUCACACUAAACCAUUACUUACCAGCUCAACAAUGUUGCAGUUGAAAUGGACGCCUUCCUUAGCGGCAUCAUGGACGAUAAUGGACUUUCCGAUGACCUCAUGGAUGAUGAGUACUACCUAUUUGCCGAUCAAGGUACUCCCAGGCGCCUUUCGCUACUCGUCCCUCUAUACUAUUGAUUUAUGUUCUGCAUCCUAUCGUGACAUGUUAUGUCUCGACAAUGCUUGCAGGAUCCGACGCUGAUAACACUAACAUCGAUGAGCCUGUAGACUCCAACACGGGAUCUAUCGAGCUUGAUCCUUUCGACUAUGUGUACUCGAACAUCCCAGACAGCACGCACAUCCUGAAGCACGCGGUGAACUACAACCAUUGCAAGGCCAAGAAGUUCCAGUACGAGAUUGACGGCUUCUGCUGUCGAAACGGGGAGAUUAAGCUGGCUGAACCGGAGCCUAUCCCAGAGCUGAUGAGGUUAUGGUCUAGCGCGGAUGGAGACUCUCGGCAUUUCCUGGACAGCAUUCGGUUCUUCACGGCCACUUCUCCUUCACUACCCUUGGUGUCAACCUAGACAACAACUACACAAACAUGAAGUCGGGAGUGUACACGUUUCGGGCACAUGGCACUAUGUACCACAAGGUGCACUCGUUCGGUCCAACAUCUCGUCCUGAUCAUCUGCAGUUGUACUUCUAUGACGACGACCCAAACUUAAGCCAUCGCAAGGAGGCCACCAAGCAAUUGGACCAGCGUGUUGUCAGCAAGUUAGCGGACAUCCUCAGGGAAAACCCCUACUCCCAGCAGUUUAGGAGUUUGGGUGCCCACAAGGAAAACCUCGAGGAGUACCGGAUAGACCUCAACAUUGACCAGAAGCUAGACCAACGGAGAUAUAACAGACCGGUGUCAUCUGAGGUGGCUGCGAUUUGGGUCGAGGGAAGUGAUCUAGCAAACAGGUUCAACCGCAGCAUUACACUCUAUGGGGACAACAACGAGAAGCAUAGUAUACAUGCUACAGAAGGUUGCUAUGACCCGCUGUCGUAUCCCCUCUUUUUCCCAAGGGGGGAGCUUGGUUGGCAUCGAAAUAUCCCUAAGCACAAUGUCCCUUGGGAACUUGCACAACAACCAAGAGGAAACCGCGAUAACGAUUCAGGUUCGCCUAUUUGGUAUGCUUAUAUGCAAAAAAUAACAUUGUCUAUCCUUUCCAUAUGGUACCUAACCUUCUUCUUUCACAUCUUUCCAUAGAGGGAAACAGUCGGUUGUGUGUCUCUGUCUGGGACUACUACUGUUACCGGCUACAGACGCGCCCUGCAAUAUUCAACCCCAUACUUCACGGAGCACGCUUGUUCCAGCAAUGGGGCGUCGACAUGUUCAUCAAGAUUGAGGGUUGUAGGCUGAAGUGGACCAGGGACCACCAGCCACAGAUACGUGCUGAUAUAUACCAAGGCCUUGUGGAUAGCAUCGCAGUUGGGGAGAUGCGAGCGAGCGCUGUUGGCAAGAGGAUCGUGCUCCCAGGGACACAUCAGGGGUGCAACCGAGACAUGAAGCGGAGACAUAUGGAUGCCAUGGCAUUGGUGCAGACGUAUGGGAGCCUGACAUCUGUUUGACUAUGACAUGCAACCCUAGCUGGGAGGAGAUACUGAAUGAGCUGCUUCCAAGCCAGACUCCCCAAGACCGACCAGAUCUUAUCGCACGCGUGUUCAGGGCCAAGCUGGAAACCAUGAAAGAGAUGUUGUUCAAGAAGCACAUCCUAGGUGUUGUGGUAGCGCAUGUGUAUGUCGUCGAGUUUCAGAAGAGGGGCCUCCCCCAUGCGCACUUCCUGUUGAUCAUGAAUUUAAAUUAUAAACUUGUGGUGCCAGAGUAGUAUGACCGCCUCAUAUCUGCAGAGCUCCCGGACAAGCAUAAGUAUCCAGAGCUCUAUGCCAUGGUCGUGAAUCAUAUGAUGCACGGACCAUGCGGUAAUCUAAAUCCCAAAAAUGUGUGCAUGCAAGACUCGAAGUGCAAGUGCAAGUACCCACGGCCGUUCAACCAGAACACCUUCCAAGGGAAGGAUUCAUACCCGGUUUAUCGACGACGGGACGAUGGUCGUUGUGCUAAGGUCCGCCGUCAUCUGCUAGAUAACAGGUGGGUGGUGCCUUACAACCCUUAUCUGUUGCGGAUGUUCAACUGUCACAUUAAUGUUGAGGUAUGCUCCAGCAUCAAGGCCGUCAAGUACCUUUACAAAUACGUAUACAAGGGCCAUGAUCGAGCUUCAAUCAGCAUCGACCAGCCUGACAGCAACGGGGUUGUAGAUGAGAUUAAAAGGUACAUUGAUGCGAGAUGGGUUACUCCACCGGAGGCGAUGUGGAGGAUAUUCGGCUUCAACCUUUCUGAGAGUUCCCCAUCGGUCCUACAGUUGCCGCUUCAUCUCCCUAAUAUGCAUAGUGUCACGUUCAAAGCACAAGAGGACCUGACCGAUGUCGUCGCCUGUGAUAAUGCAUCUAAGUCAAUGCUGACGGAGUAUUUCCUCGCUAAUCAGAAGCACGAGUGGGCUUGGGAUAUCCUUUACAAGGACUUCCCGGGAAGUUUCACAUGGCAGAGACAGAAGUACUGGAGGCCGAGAGAAAAGCGGCACCAAGUUGGUCGAAUCAUGUCAGCCCAUCUGGCCGAGGGGGAGCGGUACUUUCUGCGAGUGCUGUUGGGGAACGUUGCAUAAAAUAAAAAAAUUCCUACGUUCACCAAGAUCAAUCUAUGAGUUCAUCUAACAACGAGAGAGAGAGAUGCAUCUACAUACCCUUGUAGAUCGCGUGCGGAAGCAUUCAAGAGAAUGGGGUUGAGGGAGUUGUAUUCGUCGUGAUCCAAGUCACCGGAGAUCCUAGCGCCGAACGGACGACACCUCCGCGUUCAACACACGUACGGUCAGCGUGAUGUCUCCUCCUUUUUGAUCCAGCAAGGGGGAAAGGAGAGGUUUAUGAAGAUCCAGCAGCACGACGGCGUGGUGGUGGAUGCAGCAGGGUUCCGACAGAGCUUCGCCGAGCUUCUGCGAGAGGAGGAAGUGUAGUUGGAGCUGAUACUGAGUAUAUAUGUGCAUAUGCCUGGCGAAGUCAUGUGAUUUUAUAAAAAGGGAAAUAUAAGGAACCUAGCUUGAGGAAUUUCUAUUUGACCAACUCCUCUAAAACAAACUGAUCCACCUAGAACUAUGGUGCAGAUGUUUUAAUAACAAAUAGAUCAGCUUGGAGUUCCAAGUACCCAACAAUCAGUAUACAUAAAUAACAUUAAAAUAACAAAAAAUACAUGUAGUGACCUGUAACUUCCCAUUUUGAUGUCAACUUCACCAAUAAAAGUGGCAUCAUCAUCUAAUAGUAGUAUGUGCUGGUACUCAUCUAUUUUGAUCAUUAGUAAUUCUUUGGGCACUAAAAAAACUUCUUUACCAAAAAAUUAUGGCCAGUAUGAUAUUGAUGUCAAAUCCUCUAGCAGUAAGUCAGUAACUAUGGCAAUUCUUCUUGUUCGUAGCCUUCUAUAAUACUUAAAGUUCCAUUCUAGAAGAAGAACCCAAAAAGGAAAUUGAAACCAAUUAUAGAUACAGUGGUGUGCUAUGGAUCCAAUGGCUAAUGUUGCAAAAAUGAAGAACAAUGCCUUGGAGUAUUUAUUGGACAUAGAAGACAGUUUGCAUACCAUUACCAUCACAUGUCUGCAAUCGCACAACUAAGGAGAGCAGGAGACCACUCCAUAUGGGUGGUUAGUUAUCUAAAAAAAAGAUUGCCUAACACAUCAUACCUAUGCCCUUGGCGAAGCAUAUCAGAAGGCUAAGGCAGCGAAGCCACCUCCUCACACUCUGUUCAAUCUGAAGGUGUGAGAGUGUUAUGACCGUCAUAUUAGGGGCUUAGCCCAGUGGGUUGUGGCCCAAGUUAUCUUAUCGUUAUUAGGGGCUUAGCUCGAUUAUCUUAUCGUUUGCUUAGGAGUCAAGUAAACCUCUCUAUAUACGGAGAGAAGAUGUAUCAAUCUAAUCAAGCAAGAAGCAAUCAUUAUUUGCUCGGCUUUCCUUAGGGAGCCGGGAGACCUAAAACCCUAGCCGCCUCCUGCCUUCGCCGCCGCUGCUCCCGUCGCAAGGACGGCGCCACGCCGCCGGCCGCCGCGCACCAGCCCUCGUCCUUCCCCCUCCUUCCCCUACAACCUACGCCCUAGAUCCGGUAGGGCCCUAGCUCCUAUCACCUUGGUAUCAGCUAGCUUGGUUUCGACCAUGUCAUCACCACCACCAAACCCGCCACUGCCCACCACCACCAACACCGCCGCCGCCACCACCUCCUCCACCGCCGUUGCGUUCUCGCCGAGCGCCACGGCCUUGCUGGCCCUUCCGUCGGCGCCGAUCGCCCCCACCCCCGGCACGUUGCCUGGCCAGCCGCCGCCCCCGUCAAGGAUUCGCCGCCAUCACCGUCCACCAUGCCGACCUAGUACGCUCUGGAGGCCAUGGCUGGUGUCCUUUGCCGGCCGCCCCAGCGCUGUCCUGGCUGCAGUGGCCGACGCUGGCUUUCACGGCGCCACCCGCGCCUUCUGCGCCCGCCCCAGCGCCGCAGUGGCCGUACUGGCCCGCGUCGGCCCCAGCCGCGUCAACCGUGCCGGACGCGCCGGUACAGCUUCCACCACCGCCGCCCAGCUCCGGACUGGGCCAAUCCACACCGGAGGCCUCCUGAUCCAGCAGGUCUAGUUUCCGCUGUCACCGUCCCCGAUUCCGCCACCGCCAGUUUACACGGAGGCUGGGCACCCAUCGGUACCCACACUGCAGUCUGGGGCCUCGUCCGGCUCCGCGGGGGCUACGACGGCCUCCCCACCGUUGACCGGGCGCCGUCAUCAUCACUGCUCCGCACCGCCGAACCGGUCGUCCAUGGCGCGCUGACCAGACGCCGCCACGGUUCGCCAAGAUCUACUUCGCCACUUAUGAUGGCACGGAGGACCCGCUUAACUAGCUCAACCAAUGCGACCAGUUUUUCCGUGGGCAGCGCACGCUCGCGUCGGAGCGCACUUGACUGGCAUCCUACCACCUCCGCGGUGCAGCCCAGACAUGGUACUAUGCCCUCGAGCAGGACGAGGGCGGCAUGCCCCCAUGGGAGCGCUUCCAUGAGUUGUGCCUCCUUCGUUUUGGGCCGCCGAUCCGCGGGAGCCGCCUGGCCGAGUUGGGCCACCUUCCCUUCACCUCUACGGUGCAAGACUACACCGACCGCUUUCAAGCCCUAGCGUGCCACACGUCCGGCGUGACGGCUCACCAGCGGGCCGAACUCUUCGUCGGCGGUCUGCCAGAUCAUCUCCGCGUUGACGUCGAGCUGCAAGGACCCUAGGACCUCCAGACGGCCAUGUACUACGCCCGCGCGGUGGCCAUGCAGCAGGCAUCACCGUCCCAGGCCACUGGGCCGCUACCCGAACCAGAUGUUCAUGCGCAGGGUCGGCCUGCUAAGUCUUCAGCGGCACCCCUCGCCGCGACCGCGGCGCGCCCGUUCUGCCGGCUCACCUCGGCCGGGCUACUCGAGCGUCGCUGCCAAGGGUUGUGCUUCAACUGUAACGAGCCCUACACGCCCGGCCACGUCUGCCCGCGGCUCUUCUACCUGGAGGCUGUAGACUACAUUGAGGAGGACGCUGUCGCCGCCAACCUGACUGCCCCAGCUGUCGCGAAGGUGUUUGACGCUGGUUGAUCACCUCGAGGAGUUCAGCAAGCGCUUCCCCACCUUACAGCUCGAGGACGAGCUGUUUGUGCAGGCGGGGAGAAGUGUUAUGAGGCUUAGCCGAGUGGGUUGUGGCCCAAGUUAUCUUAUCGUUAUUAGGGGCUUAGCCCGAUUAUAUUAUCGUUUGCUUAGGAGUCAAGUAAACCUCUCUAUAUAGGGAGAGGAGAUGUAUCAAUCUAAUCAAGCAAGAAGCAAUCAUUAUUUGCUCGGCUUCCCUUAGGGAGCCAGGAGACCUAAAACCCUAGCCGCCUCCUGCCUUCGCCGCCGCUGCUCUCGUCACAAGGAUGGCGCCACGCCGCCGGCCGCCAGGCACCAGCCCUCGUCCUUCCCCCUCCUCCCCCUACAACCUACGCCCUAGAUCCGGUAGGGCCCUAGCUUCUAUCAGAGAGUGUAACCAGUGUGUUGCUUCUUAGGAUGUGGUCCGAGUAGCGUGAGUCUCAUCUACCUGCUCACUUAAUUUGUAAUGGGCUGCAGGAGUAGUUUCUAGACAGUUCGACAUAGGCGCGUGGAUUUGAUGACAGAAAAUUUGAAUUUGGGAGGCGGCAAGGAUGGGCACGUUGAGGUUUGGGAAGUAGAGGCGGUAGCCGAGCAUAGCACCAGAACAGGCCAUAGAGCUCGUCAGCCAAGAAGGGGAAAUAGCAGUAAGGAGCAGCGUGUAGUCGGCGGUGUACUUGCAAAGGUCAGCAUCCGAGAAGAAGGGGGAGGUGGCGAGGAGGAUGGGGAGGUGCUGCUUGUGGUGGGUGAGCGGUAUUCAGCAGCAGGAAAGCGAGGAGGCCGGGGAAGCGUUGGGGCGUCGGAGGAGGCUGUGUAGGACGCGUAGGGGGUGGCCAGGAGGAAUAGUGUGUGGUGGUGAUGCUGGGAGGUGGCACUUCUCUGGCAGAGGAGGUAGGAGAGGUACUGGCGGAGGGAUGGCGUCGGCGGCCUACCUGCCGAGGUCGACAAUGGAGGAGACGGGGAAGGUGGUGGAUGGUCGUGGUUGGCGGUGGAGCUGAGGAAGGUAUGGGAGGCUCCGGGAGCAGACGGCACCCGCGGCGGCCACUGCUCCAUAUCGGUUCCGACGGUGCCUGUUGGCAGGCUGCUGGUUCUCACGGCUGCUUUUCCCCAUUCUUAGGUCGUUGGAUAAGGUGGGGCAAGAGAUAGGCUAAAAGGGUGACAAGGGCGUUGUCUGCAAAUCUGUACAGAGUGGUGGGUGUCUUUUCGUAAAAAUGCCACUGAUUGCUUCAUGUGCGUUAGAUAUAGAUCGAACGAUCCUAAAUGCAAGAUGGCAGGCACACCAUCAUCACCAACUGUGGUUUUUAUAGGAGUAGAGAUUUCUGCAGGUCUAAGUGUGAUGUUUUUAUUUGUGUAGGUGCUUACCCUAUCAUGGGUGAAGAAGCCAUGUCAGUCUUAUGAUUCUUGAUCCUUGAGCUGGGCCUGAGGUAAAUAUCUUCCAUUUUAAAAUAGUUUACAUUUAGCACGUUUUAACUCAAAUUCGAAGGUCGUAGAGAAAAUUGUCAGGUUGUGGUAAACAACUUCAUGAAGAAGCCAAUUGUUAUUUCUCUUAUCUCAUUUUGUUUGCAUUGCAAACAACACACUAUUUUGGCCAGCCUUUAGCUAGCAAUUUAACCAUUGACCGAUCUCCCAAGGGUUUAUCUAACUGAACCUUGUGUUUUUUUAUUUGUGUAGGCACCUGCCCACUGCUGGCCUUCAUGGAUGAGUAAACCGAAUUAACCAUGCAUGCUCAUUGCAAAUUCAUUUUCGGCAUAAUGUUUUCGUUGUGUAUUCUUGGAAAAAAACUUCAAAUUAUGGGUGCCUUUGGACCAUAGAAGCAGCUUAAGUUUAGAGCAUAACCUGCAUGUUAGAGCAGAACUUAUUAUUGGCUACUACUUAUUUCGAGUCUCGUGAAACUCACAUCAUGCCUGUGUGCAAGUGUAGCAGCCAUAGAUGAUGAAUUUAACUCGGCAAUUAUGCUGGAGUGUAAAGUUUGGACCGUAGAAGCAACAUAUGUAGCUUAGAGCAGAAUGUUAUUGGCUACUAAUCUCUACUAUUAAAGCGCAACCUGCAGUCGUCGUGAUGGUUCGACAAAUCCCACCACCCCUCGACCGCAUCCCGUCACUCAUUAACUCGGCCCAUAAACGAGAGCCGUUGCCAACUCAGCCCACGAUCACGCACCAGCCGGAGAAAAACAGUUGCGACUCAAUCCACGAACCACGUCCACUCCAUGCAUUGACCAAAAAAGACGUCCAUGCCCAAACCAAAGAAAAAAAGUCCGAGCCAAACCAAAACAGAAAAACAAGUGUGAGGGCUCCAUCGAGCCCUGAACGCACGUCGCCAGAAACGCCAGUUCCUCCUCUCGAUGGACGUAUAGUCACCGUCCGGCCACAUCCGCCGGAACCAGUCCGGCCACAUCGCUCUCACGGUAGAUUGUCACGACCGCGCGGUGGAGGAGUUCCGCCGCCGACGAACUACAGCUCGAAUUCGAGAGAGAGAGGAAGAAGAAGGGGAUCCGGUGUAGGAGACGAAGGCAGGAGGAUAAGAUAGAAUGAGUGGCAUAGUUUGAAUUACAGAAAUCUCUUCGUACCGUUCUCUCCCUCGCCCGCCUGCUUAUAACCCGUAGGAUACAUGGGCCUACUUGCUACGACCCUCUGGCCCAUUAUCGCCGAGACCCUUAGGCCCAUUACAUGUUUAAACCUCCCGCUUCAACAUUACGCCUUCUCCUUGUCUGCUUCCCGCUUCCCUCGUCUUGCUCGCGUCUUUGACAUCUGUAAGGUACUUACAAUACCUCCCCCUGAAGAACCAGCAUGUCCCCAGGCUGGUGCAUCUGGGUAGCGUUGCUUGAGUACUUGGUAAUCUUCCCAGGUUGCUGACGCCGCAGGAAUGGACGACCACUUUACAAGUAUCUGUAGAUAAGAUGCAUUGCCCUUUUUGACCAGUCGACGAUCCAGAAUCUCCUCAGGUUUCACACCAGGUACUGACAGAUCGAGCGGAACCGGAAGGGUAGUAAACACCGGGGUAUGAUCUGGCACAUGGCCCUUGAGUUGAGACACAUGAAACACAGGGUGGACCAUACUGCCCCGAGGUAACUCUAGUUUGUAGGCUGCAUUUCCCACUUUUUCCAAGACCUUGAAAGGGCCAAAAUAUUUGAGAGCAAGCUUGGGACAAGGACGGUUGACCACAGAGGACUGAGCAUAUGGCUGGAGGCGCAGGUAAACCAUUUCUCCUUCGGCAAACUGGCGAUCAGAUCGUUUCUUGUCCACGAAAUGCUUGUACUUGCAUUGCGCUCGAGCGAGAUGAUCCUUGAGCAGAGCUGUAUGCUCUGACUGGGAGGCCAACCAGGUCUGAACGUCAGAGUUCAGAGAAGUGGACUGACCUGCUAACUGUCCCACAUUUGGAUCUUGCCCAUACAAUGCUUUGUAUGGGGUGCAGCCCAGUGAGGAGUGGUACGUAGAGUUAUACCAAAACUCUGCCUGAGGUAACCAUGCUGCCCACUUUGUUGGAGAAUCGUGUACUGCACAACGCAAGUACAUCUCUAGGCAUUGAUUCACACGUUCAGUCUGGCCAUCAGUUUGUGGGUGAUACACCAUGCUCAUCUGCAGUUCUGUGCCCCACACUCUGAACAAUUCUCGCCAGAAAGCACUCGUGAAGAUUUUGUCCCUGUCUGACACAAUUGUCAAUGGUAAUCCGUGCAGUUUCACUAUGUUAUUCAGAAAUACCUUUGCAACCGAUGCCGCUGUAAACGGAUGUUUCAGAGCCAAAAAAUGACUUACUUUAGUCAAGCGGUCCACUACCACCAAAAUAGCACUGAAUCCUUCAGACUUAGGCAGUCCCUCAACAAAAUCCAUGCUAAUUGACUGCCAGGGUCGAUCUGGCACGGGUAAAGGUUGCAACAAGCCAGGUGUUUUGCACAGUUCAUGUUUUGCCUGUUGACAUGUGUUGCACUGCUUUACAAAAUUUUCCACAUCUGUUUUCAUACCAGUCCAACUAAACAACUGCUUAACCCUGUGGUAAGUAGGCAAUAUGCCAGAGUGGCCCCCUACAGGUGUUGAAUGAAAAGCUUGAAUGAGUUUUGUCUGUAAGCCAGUGUUAGCACCAAUCCAAAUUUUAUCCCCAUGUUUAAUCAGACCAUCCUGCAACUGAAACCCAGGACAGGCCUUGCUGUCUACUGCCAAUUUUUGCAACAACCCUUGAGCAGCAGAGUCCACCGAGUAUGAGUUUAAAACCUCUUGUAUCCAAACAUCUUUGCUGGUGGAUAUAGCCUGGAUAGGAAACAAGUGAGCCACCCUGGACAGUGCAUCUGCUACAGUAUUCUCCACUCCUUUCUUGUACCGUAUAGAUAAUUGUAGCCCAACUAGUUUUGUCAUUGCUUUCCUCUGCAAAUCUGAAGUUAGAAGUUGGUCUCCUAAGUGACACAAGCUUUGAUGAUCAGUUUUAAUAACAAAAGGGGCUCUGGCCAAGUAAGAUCUCCAUCUGUCUACUGCCAUCAUGAUUGCUAGGAACUCCUUCUCAUAGAUGCACAACUUUUGGCUAGUAACUCCAAGUGCCUUGCUAUAAUAAGCAAUUGGAUGCCCUUCUUGAGAGAGUACAUCUCCUACUCCAGUGUUACAGGCAUCUGUUUCCACAGUGAAAGUUUUCUCAAAGUUAGGUAGAGCUAGCACAGGAGUAGUGGCCAUAGCUUGCUUCAAGUGUUGAAAAGCUUCCUGAGCUGUGCCAGACCAUUGGAAAGCUUGUUUUUUAAGUAGGACAGUCAAGGGUUUAGCCAGCAAACCAUAAUUUCUCACAAAUUUUCUGUAAUACCCCGCGAGUCCCAGAAAUCCUCUUAAUUCAGUAACAUUGGUAGGCACUGGCCAGUUGACCAUAGCUUCUGUCUUUGAAGGAUCAGUAGCCACUCCCUUGUUAGAAAUUAUGUGGCCCAAAUAUUCCAUAGUUUGUUGAGCAAACACACACUUACUCUGCUUCACAUGUAACUUGUUCUCUGCUAGGAUUUCAAAUACAGAUUUCAGAUGCUGUAUAUGAUCUUCCAAGGAAAAACUAAACACCAAGAUAUCAUCCAUGAAUACCAAGACAUAUUUUCUGUUUGGUCUAGCCAUAAACACAUUCAUAUUGCAUUGGAACGUCCCUGGUGCAGUAGCCAAUCCAAAAGGAACCACUCUGAAUUGAAACUGACCAUGGUGUGUUUUAAAUGCUGUUUUAUGCUCAUCCUCCUCUCUCAUUCUAAUUUGAUGAUAUCCAGCUUUUAAAUCCAGUUUUGAAAACCAUUUGGCCCCUCCCAACUCAUCCAACAGUUCAUCAAUUACUGGCAAUGGAAACUUGCUUUGUAUGGUGAUAUCAUUCAAUCUUCUGUAAUCUACACAGAAUCUCCAAGUGCCAUCCUUCUUUUUGACCAACAAAACAAGAGAAGCAAAGGGACUAAUGCUAGGUGUAAUCAAACCAGCUUUCAACAUUUCAGCAACUUGUCUUUCUAUCUCAUCUUUUUGUUGUGGAGAGUACUUGUAAGGCCUGCAAUUGACUGGAACAGCUCCAGGAACCAGGUGAAUUACAUGAUCCAAUGGCCUGUGAGGAGGCAAUGUUUUAGGAUCUGUGAAAACUAUAGUGUGCUUGUCAAUCAACUCUUGCACAUCAGGAGGGACUGGUGUUUCAGGUGCCAUAACAAUCCUGUUUAAUACAGCAGUGGCCCAAACUUCAUUUCCCUUUUCCCACUUCAUUAACUGUUCCACUGAUACUUCCUCAAUUACAGUGGGGGAGACAGGCAACACUCCUUGCAGUUUAACCUCCUGCCCUGCAUACUGGAACUGAAUCCACUUUUCUGCCCAAUGACACUGCAUAAUUCCCCACUGUUCAAGCCAGUCCAUGCCCAAAAUUAUAUCAUGCCCUCCUAAAGGAAGUACAUGCAUGGCAUUUGUAACAUUGUGCCCUUGUAUCCACCAAGUUAACUGGGAAACCACCUCAGUGCAUUGGACAACUUCUCCAUUUGCCACUUUUACUUUCAUUGGCUGUGACAAUUGAUCAGCAGUAACAGAGAUCCUGCUCAAAAGUGCCUGGUCCACAAAAGUAUGUGUGCUCCCUGAGUCCACUAAAAUGAGGACCACUUGGUUUCCAACUAGAGCCCUCAGUUGUAUGGUCCUGGGAUGAACUACUCCAGACAGCGCAGUAACUGAAAUGGUGGCACAAUCUGCUGUAGACCGGUCAACCAGAGUGUCUAGCAGAGCAUCUGAUAAUAUUUCAUUCUAUACUAUGGCUUCAACCGCCUUUAACUGAGCUCCAGCAGCAGGUGCCUGACUGCAGGCAUGUCCAGGUGCAAACUUCUCUCCACAUUUGUAACAAAGGCCAUUAGCACGUCUGUAUUCCUUCAACUGUUUUGCCUUCCAUAAUUCCCCCAGAGCCAAUGCAGGUCGACUGUCCAUCUUGGUGAAAGAAGUUUUUGUAUAGUUGGACUUGAUAGAUUUCUGUUGCAAGAGUCCUUCCUGAACAGCAACAAACACUGCUGCCGAUUGCACACAGGAUGGUAUCUGUAGUUCCACAGUUGCUCGGAGUUCAGGCUUAAGACCCAUAAUGAAACAUGUUACUAAGAACAUGUCACUGAGGGCUGGUUCAUACAACCUGAUGGUGUACACCAGGUGCAGAAAGUGUUGUUUGUAUUCCUCCACUGACUCAAGUUGCUUUAAGGACAUGAGCUCCUUCAUCUUCUGUAUGUAUACAUUAACGUCAAAUUCUUGCACUAUCGCUGCACAGAACUGAGGCCAGGUGUGAUAGAUACUCGUUUGUUUGAACGCCUAGUACCAAUGAGCUGCAUUAUCUGUCAGGUACACAGAUGCUGAAGUAACCUUGAAACUGUCAGGUAUAUUGUACAACUUGAAAAAUGCCUCGCACUUAUCUAGCCAGAUCCGAACAUCACUGCCAUCAAAUCGAGGAAAAUCCAUCUUGGGCAUCCACUGUCGUUUGCCUGAAUUUUCCUCCUGACCCGACUACACCACUUGCUGCUGAACAGGUAAACAGUUCGGUACCUGAACUGGACGCGGUGGUGCGGAGGUGGAAAUUGAUGGCCCUGCUCCUAGUAUGCCAUCCGAAACUUCUGAUGCAGUCGGCGACGAGCUCUCUGGUCCCUCCGGCGGCUUCCCCUUCGUCGCCGCAUGGAACUGGCUCUGCUGAACCUGACCCAGCGUGUCGCACGACAGAUCCACUUUCACCUGCACCUGAUCAAGGCGCGCGGACUGCUCUGACAGCUUGGUGUCGAGGGCCUCCAGCUGUGCGGAAAUCCCGUUGACCACCUCGAGCUUGCGCUGCGCCGCCUGUAUCUCGGCGAGUUCCCGCAGCAUCCGCUCCUAAAACGCCUCCAUCUCCUCCGUGAGGAAGCGUGUCUGCGGAUUCGGCUUAAACAUCGUCGUGGUCGCUGAUUCCCUCAAAUCAACCCACCUCAGGUCCGGAUUUAUGCAGAUCAAGCUCGAGGGCGAUCCACUACCUUCGCCUCGGAUUUGCCGGGUAUGAUUCGAGAGAAAUUUUUUUGCAGGCGCACGGCGGAGCGAGAGGAGAGGCUCUGAUACCAGAUUGUCACGACCGCACGGUGGAGGAGUUCCGCCAGCGAUGAACUACAGCUCGAAUUCAAUAGUGAGAGGAAGAAGAAGGGGAUCCGGGGUAGGAGACGAAGGCAGGAGGAUAAGAUAGAAUGAGUGGCGUAGUUGGAAUUACAAAAAUCUCUUCGUACCGUUCUCUCCCUCGCCCGCCUGCUUAUAACCCGCAGGAUACAUGGGCCUACUUGCUACGACCCUCUGGCCCAUUAUCGCCGAGACCCUUAGGCCCAUUACACAUUUAAACCUCCCGCUUCAACAUUACGCCUUCUCCUUGUCUGCUUCCCGCUUCCCUCGUCUUGCUCGCGUCUUUGACAUCUGUAAGGUACUUACACAGAUGUGCGAGCUGCAGCCUGUGUUGUCGCCGGAACCAGCAACCUCUGCUCCUGUCUCAUGCUGCAGCCUCUACUGCCGCCGGAACUAGCACCUCUGCUCCCGUCUCAUGGUGUUGCUCGACAGGGCCGCCAGAACCAGCCACCUCCGCGCGCCGGCUGUUGCUGCACCCAUCUCCAGACGCCGUAGGUACAUCCUCCUGCCACCAUCUUCACAGUUCCCUAGGUUUACCAUCCUCAGUUGGUUCCUACAAAAAUAAAAUGCAUUCAUGCAUUCAUGAUGUCAAAGCAAAUUACCUACAUUACAAAGAUACUUAAACGAUGCAGGAUUUUAAGCUAUGUACCAGCUACCUGAAAAUCAUAAAUUUCCAUGAAGAAUACACCCAUUAGGUUCUAGGAAUUAAUAUGUUUCAUAAUCAAGGACGAAUAGGCAAGUUCUGAUGUCUUUCCAGCAAGUACACCCAAUGCAAACAACUUAUUCCCCCAAUCUGUAUUUGGUGCCCAAUACAAACUGAGACAUGCAGAACAAUCUUUGACAUCGGGAUAGUGUAUCAAUACAUCAUAUAAUUUGCUGACAUAGAGUAUUGAACAAAACAUCAUGUAAUUCGCAAUGUGUACACCACACUUGGUCAUGAGUGUGUUGCGAUAGGUAUCAUCUUAUAUACCUAAAAAUUAAACAAAUUUGAGGCGACUCAUACUCAAAUUUCAGGGUAAUAUAUUUAUCGUCGUGGUUCAUUCUAAAACAUGGGUAUCAUUACUUAUUUUCAUGACCACAUAACUAAUAUUUCCACUUCUGAAGAUAGAUAAUUGUGCAACUCCAUUAUAAAUGCUCACACUCACGAUACCCUCAAGCCUAGAAUCCUACUGUGAUAAAAAAUGAACAUGACCCAGAAGAUAAAUAAACUUGAACAAAUUCACCAGUGAUCCUUGAAGGGGUUGUGCAGUCAGGGUUGUGCUCUUCGCUCCGCUACGAGAGAAUGGCAACACCUACACCUCAAGCUGAAC